RNAcentral lists this ribosomal RNA (495 nucleotides) under uncultured bacterium. RNAcentral's name for it is "partial 16S ribosomal RNA". It matches the Rfam family "Bacterial small subunit ribosomal RNA", at positions 30 to 507 of the family's 1533-position model. The record is from RNAcentral.
UGAACGCUGGCGGCGUGCCUACUACAUGCACAUCGAGCGAACGGACGCGAAGCUUGCUUCUCUGAUGUUAGCGGCGGACGGGUGAGUAACACGUGGAUAACCUACCUAUAAGACUGGGAUAACUUCGGGAAACCGGAGCUAAUACCGGAUAAUAUUUUGAACCGCAUGGUUCAAAAGUGAAAGACGGUCUUGCUGCCACUUAUAGAUGGAUCCGCGCUGCAUUAGCUAGUUGGUAAGGUAACGGCUUACCAAGGCAACGAUGCAUAGCCGACCUGAGAGGGUGAUCGGCCACACUGGAACUGAGACACGGUCCAGACUCCUACGGGAGGCAGCAGUAGGGAAUCUUCCGCAAUGGGCGAAAGCCUGACGGAGCAACGCCGCGUGAGUGAUGAAGGUCUUCGGAUCGUAAAACUCUGUUAUUAGGGAAGAACAUAUGUGUAAGUAACUGUGCACAUCUUGACGGUACCUAAUCAGAAAGCCACGGCUAACUACGUG